AUAUAUAUAUAUAUAUAUAUAUAUAUAUAUAUAUAUAUAAUAUGAUAAAAUGAUUUUAUGUAUAUAAUACUUAAUAUAAAAUAAAAUAAUUAAAUAUUAAUAUAUAAAUGAUAAAACUUAAUAAAAUAAAAUAUAUAUCAAAUUUAAUUAAUUUAUAUUAUAUAAUAAAAUUUAAGUAUAAAUAUAUUAUCAUAAAAAUAAUAUUUAUAUUAAUAUAUUUAUUUAUUAAAUUUAAGCAUUCAUUUAAUUUAUUUGAAAUUAAUUAAAAUAAAGUAUAAAAAAUUAAAAGGCCAGAAAAAAGAAAAAAAGAAAAAAAAAAGCCCAAAUCUCUUGUUCCGGCUUGUUCUCCCUUUUAGGGAGAACAAUCUUACCGGAUUGUUCCCGGCUUAACGGGUUGUUCCGGAAACAACCGGGUUGUUCCGGGAACAACCCGGUUGUUCCAAAAUGCAUUGUGUUUGGAGGAAUAUCCCGUCUUGUUCUGGGAUAUCCCUCCAACCAAACGCAGCCUAUAUAAUCAUGACGUCCCUUAUUAUCCGACCAUUAAAAGUUCUCCUCCCUGAUUUCUUUUUUCUUUUUUUCUUUUUUUUCC
Molecule: long non-coding RNA, 589 nt
Filed under: Ananas comosus (pineapple)
Lineage: Eukaryota; Viridiplantae; Streptophyta; Magnoliopsida; Poales; Bromeliaceae
Description: long non-coding RNA (ACOM_LNC032057)
Source: RNAcentral